Molecule: ribosomal RNA, 498 nt
Filed under: uncultured bacterium
Lineage: Bacteria
Description: partial 16S ribosomal RNA
Rfam family: Bacterial small subunit ribosomal RNA
Source: RNAcentral
GACGAACGCUGGCGGCGUGCCUAAUACAUGCAAGUCGAGCGGACGAAUCGAAAGCUUGCUUUUGUUUCGUUAGCGGCGGACGGGUGAGUAACACGUGGGCAACCUGCCCUGUAGACGGGGAUAACACCGAGAAAUCGGAGCUAAUACCGGAUAACACGAAAUGUCGCAUGACGUUUCGUUGAAAGACGGCGCAAGCUGUCGCUACAGGAUGGGCCCGCGGCGCAUUAGCUAGUUGGUGAGGUAACGGCUCACCAAGGCGACGAUGCGUAGCCGACCUGAGAGGGUGAUCGGCCACACUGGAACUGAGACACGGCCCAGACUCCUACGGGAGGCAGCAGUAGGGAAUCUUCCGCAAUGGACGAAAGUCUGACGGAGCAACGCCGCGUGAGCGAAGAAGGCCUUCGGGUCGUAAAGCUCUGUUGUUAGGGAAGAACAAGUAACGCAGUAACUGGCGUUACCGUGACGGUACCUAAAGAGAAAGCCACGGCUAACUACGUG